This 489-nucleotide ribosomal RNA is filed under the name uncultured eukaryote. RNAcentral describes it as "eukaryotic LSU rRNA". It matches the Rfam family "Eukaryotic large subunit ribosomal RNA", at positions 684 to 1175 of the family's 3401-position model. The record is from RNAcentral.
GCGCGAGCGAGAGGGCGAGAGGCCCAUCCGCGCAACGAAAGCGAAUGGCGGGACGCUCUCCCGCAGGGGGGCGGCGCCGCCGGCCGGACGUCCUCGAGGCGGACCGAGCCGGAGCGCUCGCGUCGGGACCCGAAAGGUGGUGAUCUAUCCGUGCGCGCGGCGAAGCCGGGGAAACCCCGGUGGAGGCCCGUCGACGGUACUGACGUGCAAAUCGUUCGUCCGACGUGCGAAUAGGGGCGAAAGACCAAUCGAACCUCCUAGUAGCUGGUUUCCGCCGAAAUUUCCCUCAGGAUAGCGGCCAUCGCGGAAACGUUUUGACCGGUAGAGCGAACGACUAGAGGUACCGGGGCCGUAACGGCCUCGACCUAUUCUCGAACUCCGAACGGGCAAGGAGCCGGGGUCGCCCCGAUCGGACCCCGGACGUGAAGUCGACGAUGGUCGGUGGCUGGUUUGGUAAGCAGAACGGGCGAUUCGGGAUGAACCGGAAGC